UCAGAACGAACGCUGGCGGCAGGCCUAACACAUGCAAGUCGAACGAUGAAGGCUCUAGCUUGCUAGAGCUGGAUUAGUGGCGCACGGGUGAGUAACACGUGGGAAUUUGCCCUUAGGUACGGAAUAGCCCCGGGAAACUGGGAGUAAUACCGUAUGAUGUCUUCGGACCAAAGAUUUAUCGCCUAAGGAUAAGCCCGCGUCGCAUUAGCUAGUUGGUGGGGUAAUGGCCUACCAAGGCGACGAUGCGUAGCUGGUUUGAGAGGAUGAUCAGCCACACUGGGACUGAGACACGGCCCAGACUCCUACGGGAGGCAGCAGUGAGGAAUAUUGGACAAUGGGCGCAAGCCUGAUCCAGCCAUGCCGCGUGAGUGAAGAAGGCCUUAGGGUUGUAAAACUCUUUCAGAUGGAAAGAUAAUGACGGUACCAUCAGAAGAAGCCCCGGCUAACUUCGUGCCAGCAGCCGCGGUAAUACGAAGGGGGCUAGCGUUGUUCGGAAUCACUGGGCGUAAAGCGCACGCAGGCGGAUCAUUAAGCUAGGGGUGAAAUCCCGGGGCUCAACCUCGGAACUGCCUUUAGAACUGGUGAUCUAGAGUCCGGAAGAGGAUGGUGGAACUCCUAGUGUAGAGGUGAAAUUCGUAGAUAUUAGGAGGAACACCAGUGGCGAAGGCGGCCAUCUGGUCCGGAACUGACGCUCAGGUGCGAAAGUGUGGGGAGCAAACAGGAUUAGAUACCCUGGUAGUCCACACCGUAAACGAUGAGUGCUAGAUGUCGGGGGUUUGACCUUCGGUGUCGCAGCUAACGCAUUAAGCACUCCGCCUGGGGAGUACGGUCGCAAGAUUAAAACUCAAAGGAAUUGACGGGGACCCGCACAAGCGGUGGAGCAUGUGGUUUAAUUCGAGGCAACGCGAAGAACCUUACCAGCUUUUGCAUCCCGAUCGCGGAUUUCAGAGAUGAUUUCCUUCAGUUCGGCUGGAUCGGUGACAGGUGCCGCAUGGCUGUCGUCAGCUCGUGUCGUGAGAUGUUGGGUUAAGUCCCGCAACGAGCGCAACCCUUGCCCUUAGUUGCCAGCACAUUAUGGUGGGAACUCUAAGGGAACUGCCCGGGUUAACCGGGAGGAAGGUGGGGACGACGUCAAGUCAUCAUGGCCCUUACAGGCUGGGCUACACACGUGCUACAAUGGUGGAUACAGUGGGCAGCGACCUCGUGAGGGGAAGCGAAUCUCCAAAAUCCAUCUCAGUUCGGAUUGCAGGCUGCAACUCGCCUGCAUGAAGUUGGAAUCGCUAGUAAUCGCGCAUCAGCAUGGCGCGGUGAAUACGUUCCCGGGUCUUGUACACACCGCCCGUCACACCAUGGGAGUGGUUUUUAC
RNAcentral lists this ribosomal RNA (1366 nucleotides) under uncultured organism. RNAcentral's name for it is "bacterial SSU rRNA". It matches the Rfam family "Bacterial small subunit ribosomal RNA". The record is from RNAcentral.